UACGUAGGGGGCAAGCGUUGUCCGGAAUCAUUGGGCGUAAAGAGCGUGUAGGCGGCUCGAUAAGUCCGCUGUGAAAGUCCAGGGCUCAACCCUGGAAGGCCGGUGGAAACUGUCGGGCUAGAGUCCGGAAGAGGCGAGUGGAAUUCCCGGUGUAGCGGUGAAAUGCGCAGAUAUCGGGAGGAACACCAGUGGCGAAGGCGGCCAUCUGGAUCAACACUGACGCUGAGGCACGAAAGCGUGGGGAGCAAACAGG
RNAcentral lists this ribosomal RNA (253 nucleotides) under uncultured bacterium. RNAcentral describes it as "partial 16S ribosomal RNA". It matches the Rfam family "Bacterial small subunit ribosomal RNA", at positions 524 to 776 of the family's 1533-position model. The record is from RNAcentral.